CCUANGGGCGGCAGCAGUGGGGAAUAUUGGACAAUGGGCGCAAGCCUGAUCCAGCCAUGCCGCGUGAGUGACGAAGGCCUUAGGGUUGUAAAGCUCUUUUGGCGGGGACGAUAAUGACGGUACCCGCAGAAUAAGCCCCGGCUAACUUCGUGCCAGCAGCCGCGGUAAUACGAAGGGGGCUAGCGUUGUUCGGAAUCACUGGGCGUAAAGCGCACGUAGGCGGACUUUCAAGUCAGGGGUGAAAUCCCGGGGCUCAACCUCGGAACUGCCCUUGAUACUGUUGGUCUCGAGUCCGGAAGAGGUGGGUGGAAUUCCUAGUGUAGAGGUGAAAUUCGUAGAUAUUAGGAAGAACACCGGUGGCGAAGGCGGCCCACUGGUCCGGUACUGACGCUGAGGUGCGAAAGCGUGGGGAGCAAACAGGAUUAGAUACCCCGNUANUC
Molecule: ribosomal RNA, 440 nt
Filed under: uncultured bacterium
Lineage: Bacteria
Description: bacterial SSU rRNA
Rfam family: Bacterial small subunit ribosomal RNA
Source: RNAcentral